GUGUCAGCCGCCGCGGUAAUACGUAGGUGGCAAGCGUUGUCCGGAUUUAUUGGGCGUAAAGCGCGCGCAGGCGGUUUCUUAAGUCUGAUGUGAAAGCCCACGGCUUAACCGGGGAGGUGCAUUGGAAACUGGGAGACUUGAGUGCAGAAGAGGAAAGUGGAAUUCCAAGUGUAGCGGUGAAAUGCGUAGAGAUUAGGAGGAAGACCAGUGGCGAAUGCGACUUUCUGGUCUGAAACUGACGCUGAGGCGUGAAAGCAUGGGGAGCAAACAGGAUUAGAUACCCUGGUAGUCCACGCCGUAAACGAUGAAUGCUAAGUGUAGGGGGGUU
Molecule: ribosomal RNA, 328 nt
Filed under: uncultured bacterium
Lineage: Bacteria
Description: bacterial SSU rRNA
Rfam family: Bacterial small subunit ribosomal RNA
Source: RNAcentral